RNAcentral lists this ribosomal RNA (341 nucleotides) under Eleodes scabricula. RNAcentral describes it as "Eleodes scabriculus partial 12S ribosomal RNA". The record is from RNAcentral. Lineage: Eukaryota; Metazoa; Arthropoda; Insecta; Coleoptera; Tenebrionidae.
UUUAAGUGUUUUGAUCUAAAAUUAUUAUAAGUUAUGUUCUUUAAAAUUAAAAAAUUUGGCGGUAUUUUAGUCUAUUCAGAGGAACCUGUUUUUUAAUCGAUAGUCCACGAUAAUUUUUACUUUAACUUUAAAUUUAUAUAUCGUCGUUAAUAAAAAUUUUUGGAGAAUUUUAAUUUUUGGGAUUUUUUAUUAUAAUAUAAUUCAGAUCAAGGUGUAGUUUAUGUUAAAGUUAGAAUGGGUUACAUUAUAUUUAUAUGUAGUUUUUUAUUUAAAAUUAAAUUUAAAAUGGAUUUGAUAGUAAAUUCUUUAUUUUUGAGAAUUGAUUUAGCUCUAAAAUAUGC